Molecule: ribosomal RNA, 493 nt
Filed under: uncultured Sphingobacteriales bacterium
Lineage: Bacteria; Pseudomonadati; Bacteroidota; Sphingobacteriia; Sphingobacteriales
Description: bacterial SSU rRNA
Rfam family: Bacterial small subunit ribosomal RNA
Source: RNAcentral
GCCCGCUCAGAAACUCAAAUGAAUUGACGGGGGCCCGCACAAGCGGUGGAGCAUGUGGUUUAAUUCGAUGAUACGCGAGGAACCUUACCUGGGCUCAAAUGUAUGUUGACGUAUUCUGAAAGGGAUACUUCUUCGGACAAUAUACAAGGUGCUGCAUGGUUGUCGUCAGCUCGUGCCGUGAGGUGUCGGGUUAAGUCCCAUAACGAGCGCAACCCCUAUCAUUAGUUGCCAUCAGGUCAAGCUGGGGACUCUAAUGAAACUGCCUACGCAAGUAGUGAGGAAGGCGGGGAUGACGUCAAAUCAGCACGGCCCUUACGUCCAGGGCUACACACGUGCUACAAUGGCCGAUACAGAGGGCAGCUACCUGGUGACAGGAUGCAAAUCUCCAAAGUCGGUCUCAGUUCGGAUCGGAGUCUGCAACCCGACUCCGUGAAGUUGGAUUCGCUAGUAAUCGCGCAUCAGCCAUGGCGCGGUGAAUACGUUCCCGGGCCUU